RNAcentral lists this ribosomal RNA (442 nucleotides) under uncultured bacterium. RNAcentral's name for it is "partial 16S ribosomal RNA". It matches the Rfam family "Bacterial small subunit ribosomal RNA", at positions 338 to 795 of the family's 1533-position model. The record is from RNAcentral.
CCUACGGGGGGCUGCAGUGGGGAAUAUUGGGCAAUGGGCGCAAGCCUGACCCAGCAACGCCGCGUGAAGGAAGAAGGCUUUCGGGUUGUAAACUUCUUUUAAGAGGGAAGAGCAGACGACGGUACCUCUUGAAUAAGCCACAGCUAACUACGUGCCAGCAGCCGCGGUCAUACGGAGGUGGCAAGCGUUGUCCGGAUUUACUGGGUGUAAAGGGCGUGCAACCGGGAAGACAAGUCAGAUGGGAAAUCUCGCGGCUCAACCGCGGACCUGCCUUUGAAACUGGUGUUCUUGAGUACCGGAGAGGUCAUCGGAAUGCCUGGUGUAGCGGUGAAAUGCGUAGAUAUAAGGAAGAACACCAGUGGCGAAGGCAGAUGACUGGACGGCAACUGACGGUGAGGCGCGAAAGCGUGGGGAGCAAACAGGAUUAGAUACCCGGGUAGUC